GGUAUCUCCGUGCCAGAGGCCGGGUUAUGAGGUACGGUGCGGGGGUUGAUCGGAAUGACGGGUCGUAUAGCGUGCGCAGGCGGGUUUGUAAGUCAGGCGUGAAAUCCCCGUGCGUAACCUGGGAACUGCGUUGGUGACGGCCAGGCUAGAGUACGGCAGAGGGGGGUGGAAUUCCACGUGUAGCAGUGAAAUGCGUAGAGAUGUGGAGGAACACCAAUGGCGAAGGCAGCCCCCUGGGUCGAUACUGACGCUCAUGCACGAAAGCGUGGGGAUCAAACAGGAUUAGAUACCCGUGUAGUC
This 300-nucleotide ribosomal RNA is filed under the name uncultured Thermomicrobium sp. RNAcentral describes it as "bacterial SSU rRNA". It matches the Rfam family "Bacterial small subunit ribosomal RNA", at positions 496 to 795 of the family's 1533-position model. Lineage: Bacteria; Pseudomonadati; Thermomicrobiota; Thermomicrobia; Thermomicrobiales; Thermomicrobiaceae. The record is from RNAcentral.